ACAGGAGCUGUGAGUGGCUGAGGAUGGCGUGCUUGAUGGAUUUUCUGGGUAAAGCAACUGCGAAGUCAGUUUUAAAAAGGAAACGGGCAUAAAAUCGCUUCUGAGAGAGGGCAGAGGGGGCGAGAACCACGAAACUCAAAGCCAAAAGACUCCCAAGACCACAGCCUCGCGGGCGCCCACCAAAAACCAAGAGGGAUGAAAGAAGGGGGCAGUGAGCCAACAAAUGUGAGCAGCGUCCAGAAGCUGGAAAAGGGAAGGAAAUGGACUCUCCCCUGGAGCCUCCAGUAGGGACACAUUCCUACCAACACCUAAAUUUUAACGGUGUCACACGUUUUACAAACAAAAUACAAGACCCUCCACCAGCAAAAGGAUUAUGUCUCUGUCUAGUGCAAUACUCGCUUUAUUAUAGUGGUCUGGAACCAAACCCACAAUAUCUCUGAGAUUUCAAAGCACAUGUGACUUGUUCUCAACACAUUCCUGAAAUCAGCAGCAACUUCUGAAAGUCUGCCUCUUCUCUACACACCGAUUCUUCAACAGGGUCACAACCAUUGUCCCAAAAGCUCCAAUGUAGGGGUUCAAAUCCAUCUGUCAUUCAUGAAGUUGUUUGACACUCUCAGGGCCAAUGUCAAGUACUAAACUGAAGUCACUUUACACAGAAUGGGGAAGAGAUGAGCACACUCCCCUGUUCAGAUCAAAAAGCAGAGAGUGGGAAUGGAAAAUAAAAGAAAAAAUGGACAACUAGACAAACCCAAACUGGAGGACCUUGAAUAAAGAAGAGUUGACCUCCUGGAUCAUUUUGCCUACCUGUGCACAGCAUAUUACAGAAAACCAUUCCAUCAUCUGCCACCCGCUGGGCCCAGUGGAUCUUGGUGCUGCCAGAAAUCUGAACCGUGCACUCAUUACUCAUUCUGCGUUCCACUCCCUUUACCAAA
Long non-coding RNA from Molossus molossus (Pallas's mastiff bat), 932 nucleotides. RefSeq lists it as uncharacterized. The transcript has 7 exons. The record is from RefSeq and is a predicted model, not a curated record. NCBI's taxonomy places the organism in Eukaryota, Metazoa, Chordata, Mammalia, Chiroptera, Molossidae.